GAUGAAGAACGUAGUGAAAUGCGAUACGUAAUGUGAAUUGCAAAUUCAGUGAAUCAUCGAGUCUUUGAACGCACAUUGCGCCCCCUGGUAUUCCGGGGGGCAUGUCUGUCCGAGCGUCAUUGCUGCCCUCAAGCACGGCUUGUGUGUUGGGCCCCGUCCUCCGAUCCCGGGGGACGGGCCCGAAAGGCAGCGGCGGCACCGCGUCCGGUCCUCGAGCGUAUGGGGCUUUGUCACCCGCUCUGUAGGCCCGGCCGGCGCUUGCCGAUCAACCCAAAUUUUUAUCCAGGUUGACCUCGGAUCAGGUAGGGAUACCCGCUGAACUUAAGCAUAUCAAUAAGCGGAGGA
This 345-nucleotide unclassified non-coding RNA is filed under the name soil metagenome. Its description in RNAcentral is "partial contains 5.8S ribosomal RNA, internal transcribed spacer 2, and large subunit ribosomal RNA". The stretch from base 1 to 119 matches the Rfam family "5.8S ribosomal RNA", at positions 35 to 154 of the family's 154-position model. The record is from RNAcentral.